RNAcentral lists this long non-coding RNA (1958 nucleotides) under Lactuca sativa (garden lettuce). RNAcentral's name for it is "long non-coding RNA (LSAT_LNC005954)". The record is from RNAcentral. Lineage: Eukaryota; Viridiplantae; Streptophyta; Magnoliopsida; Asterales; Asteraceae.
UCAUAUUCUUUCCAAAGCGGUUCAUUUUCCUUAUCACUGUUGGACAAACAUUAGAAUUCCAUCUUUGACUUUCCUUAUUCAUGUGGCAAACCUGUUCAUAAAAGUAUAUCUUAGAUUUUCAAAGAGGUUAGGCUUAACAAGAAAAAACCUGAAAGGUACAAUGUUUUCAAAAUGUAUUAUCCUAAUAAGAAAAAAAAAGUUAAAAGAUAACAUUUAAAUAUGUUAUAUCUCAAAAAUAAAAUGUUGUCUUAAUCNUUUAAAACAGAAAAAAGUUUAAAAAAAAAAAAAAAAAAAAAUUAUAAUUAAAAAAAAAAAUUCAAAUCUAAUAAUAUUAGAUUUUCAAAGUGUAUUGCUUUAAUAAGAAAAAGGUUGAAUAGUAGAAGUUUUUAAAGUUACAAAGUCUUAAUAGGUGAGAUUUUUAAAGUGCAAUGUCUCCAUCAGGAAGGUAUUAAAUGAGCGUCUUAAUAUGUUAGAUAUUAGCAGUACAACACUAUAAUUUAAAUAGUAAUAUUUAAGAUGCUUAAAGCACAUUGUCUUAAUAUGAAAAAAGAUAUACAAUGUUAGUGAUGGGAACAUAAAUCAUAGAUGCUUAGAUUUUCAAAGUACAAUGGCUUAAUAGUAAAAGAUUAUAAGAAAAAAAAAAUCUUUAUAGCUAUAUUUUACAAUUGUCUACACAUUCAAAGUACAAUGUUAUAAUUGUCUAGAUUUUUCAAGUAUAGUGUCUUAGUAGGGAAAAAAUAAAAGUAAAAUGUCUAAAUAUGUUAGAUUUUCAAAGUAUAAAAGUCAGUGUAAAGUUUUAAUGCGGUUAAUGCAAAUUCCAAAUUUACCCUUCCGAGUAUAUUUUUAAAUUAUCUUAAUACAACAUUUAUUUUUAUUUCAAAUAUACAUGCAUCUCGUCCUUAAUGGUUGUUUUCGUUUUCACAAAUCAUUUGUGUUUGUGUGUGUGUGUGUGUGUGUGUAUAUAUAUAUAUAUAUNNNNNNNNNNNNNNNNNNNNNNNNNNNNNUAGAUUUUAAAACACAUUUUCUUAAUAUGAAAAAAACUAAAAGUUCAAUUUAUUAAUUUAGAUUUUCAAAAUACAAUGUCUUAAUAGGAAAAAAAAAUAGAAGAAAAUAUCUUAAUAGGCCAGAUUAAAAGUACUAUGUUGUAGUUGUCUAGAUUUCCAAAGUACAUUAUCUAUGUAGGAAAAAAAAGUAUAAUGUCUAAUAAUAUUAGAUUUUCCAAGUGUAAAGUUUUAAUAAGAAAAAGUUCAAAGGUAAAUAAUUUGCAAAGUUUGUUGUCUUAAUAAGAAAAAGAAAUACAAAUUACACUGUUUAAUUAUGUUAGAUUUUGAAUAUAAAAUGCUAUAUAUGUUUACCAAAAUCAAACAAGUUUAGAUUUUCAAAAUAAUAAAAAAACAAACAUGUUUAGUUUUUCGAAGUAGAGUGUGACUAGAUAGAAAAAAUAAUAAAAUUACAGUGUCUUAAUAAAAUGCUAUAUAUGUUUACCAAAAUCAAACAAGUUUAGAUUUUCAAAAUAAUAAAAAAACAAACAUGUUUAGUUUUUUGAAGUAGAGUGUGACUAGAUAGAAAAAAUAAUAAAAUUACAGUGUCUUAAUAGAUUUGAUUAUGAAAUUACAAUGUUUUAAUAGAAGGUUAUAUACCUUAUUAGACAUUUUAUUGUUACCUUAUUAGACAUUUUACAUGUAUAUUAAGUAAUCAGCAAAGUAUAGUUUGGUUUAUUACCUUGUCUGUAACACCUCCCAUAACUUUAAUGUUUUAUCAUAUUCAGAUACCCUGAAACCAUGUGAUACUUUUUAAUUAGUAUUUUAGUUAGUGAGGGUAGAAGAGUAAAUUUACUUGCCUUUCGAGUUGGAUCAGAAUCCAACAGAAACAGAAAGCAGUUGUUUUGUUUGAAGUAAUUGUGUAAUGGGCUGUUGAAUAGUUCCACCAGCUUCCCUAUCAAAACAAUAAUAGACAUG